Molecule: long non-coding RNA, 2510 nt
Organism: Megalobrama amblycephala (Wuchang bream)
Lineage: Eukaryota; Metazoa; Chordata; Actinopteri; Cypriniformes; Xenocyprididae
Exons: 2
Source: RefSeq, a predicted model, not a curated record
UAAACUACACACAGCACAUCUGCACCUUUGGAUUUGGUUUUAUUAGGGCAGCUGCUUCUGUGUUUUACCAGAAUUCAUUCACUUUUAAAUUGACUGAUUGGCAUUUGGGUAUGUAACACACUGUAAUUAUAAUUGAAAAAUAUAAAAUUUUGUAUUAAUGUAAUAAAUUGGAAAAAUCCUUACUGAACCUGAUAUAUAUUUUACACUGUGCACUUAUUAGGAACACUGUUCUGAUACUGAGUAGGGCCUCGCUCAAAAUGUCUUGUUUAAUGCUGUAACCCCCGUUCUCUGGUGGAGGGAAUGAGACUUUGUGUCAGUGUACUGAUACUAGGGGUCACACCUCUGAGAAAACACCAAUGAGAAUCGGCGAGUGGAAUUUUUUUUCAUUUUUUUAUUCCUUUAUUUAACCAGGGGAUGUCAUAUUGAGACUAUAGUCUCUUUUUCAAAUGAUCCCUGGCCAAGAAAGGCAGCACUUAAAAUGUAUCAGCACCCCAUAAACAACACUACAACACCUAACAAUGACAAAAGUUAAAUACAACAACAAACAAAAUAUGACAUAAUAACAUAAUAACCAGGACAGGCAGAAAACAAAACAGAACAGAAGCCUAUAUAUAAUCACACUUAUAGUUGAAGGUUUCAAUUUAAAAUAAUUAAGUGGGAUAAUAGUGCCUAGCUUCAGCUGUUUCUGCAAUGCAUUCCAAGUUGAAGGGGCUUUGUAACGGAAGGCAAUUUUACCAAAUUCAGAUUUUACAGCAGGUAUAGUAAAAAGAAUGCUAUUUCUUGACCUGAGAUUGUAUCUAUUAUUUUCUACCAAAGAGAAAACUGAUAUGUAAGAAGGCAUCAAUCCUAUCGCUGCCUUAUAAAUAAAAAUAAGCCAGUGAUGCUGUCUACGAAUUGAGAGUGGAGGCCAACCUGAUAAACUGUACAAACUACAAUGAUAUGUAGAAUACUCAGCUUUAGUAACAAAGCGUAAAGCAGAAUGGUAAAUAGAAUCCAGUGAGCAUAAAACAGACUUUGCUGCAUGCAUGUACAGAAUAUCUCCAUAGUCUAUAACAGAUAAAAAGGUAGCAGCAACAAGUUCCUUUCUUACUUUUAAAUUAAAACAAGCCUUAUUUCUAUAAUAAAAACCCAGUUUAACUCUCAGCUUUUUUACCAGGUUAUCUACAUGGGGUUUAAAUGUGAGCUUUUCAUCUAAUAAAAAACCAGAGUAAUUAUAACAUGACACUCUUAUUUUCUGGUCAUAUAUAGUGAUAAUUUGAGGCAAAUCCUGUACAUUUGCUGGAGUGAGUGAAUAACAUAAAUUUUGUCUUUUUAGAAUUAAGUACCAAUUUUAAUUUUAGUAAAUUGUUUGGUAGAACUGUAAAAGCAUCCUGCAAUUUCUUUAAUGCCUCAUUUGGAGAUCUAGCAGUACUGUAUAUGAUAGUAUCAUCCGCAUAGAGAUGUACAGCUGCAUCUUCGUUUGUACAAAUAUCAUUUAUGGAGAUUGUAAACAACAAAGGCCCUAAUAAUGAACCUUGAGGGACUCCAACUAUUAGUUCUGUCUCCCCUGACAUAAUGCCUUCACAAGUGACAUGCUGAUAUCUACUAGACAGAUAAUUUUUAAACCAUUCAAUAACAUUAUCAGACAUCCCAAUUUUAGACAGACAUUUUAACAAAAUGGUAUGAUCAACCGUAUCAAAAGCUUUUGAGAGAUCAAUAUAAUGUAAUUAAUUUAUGUAAUUACAUCUUUAAGCUUAGAUGUUUGGAGCCAACACUGUUGACCCUUACCUUAAUCUUUUACUAUCCCUUACCUGGAUAGUAUGAUUCCAGGGGCACAGCUCUGCUGCAGACCCAGUGCUUUGUGUGUCGUCACUUAUAAAAACAUUUAACCCUCCCUUAAACCUAACCAGAUCCAAAAAUCUGUCCUUAACCUUAAUCGUAUCCUUAAUCAUAUCCCAUCUCAAAAGCAGAAGUGUUUUGCAAUACAAAAUGAACACAAAAAGUUUAUUGUACCUAACAUUUUUUAUGUAAGUACAUAGUAGUUAAACACACCUACCAUAUAGUGGUGCCCAUUCAAGUGAUGACUGAUUGGUAUUAAUGGGCUUAAAGUGUACCAAGACAUUGGCACAUUCCCCUUUCACCAUUACGUCACCACUACUGGCCUGGCCUGUUCACACAUAGCAGGUAAAGUCCAUGGAUUAAUGCUUUUGCUGCCUAAUUCUGAGAUUCAUCAGACCAGGCUGUUUUUCCAGUCUUUCCAUUUUGGGCAAACCUGUGCACACUGCUGUCUUAGCUUUCUGUUCUUGGCUGACAGAACUGGAACCUGACAUGGUCUACUGCUGUUGUUUCCACAUGCUGUAUAUGAGAUGUAUUAUGUUCCUCCCCAGUCUAGAGAUAGGAAGUAAUAGAAUAUGUUGGGAAAAGGAGGAAGCAUUCCCUUCUGCUGACUUAAACACAACACCAUUGUUGAUGCAAAAAAAAAAAAAAAAAAAAAAAUGAAAUGUAUUAACCAAACAGAAGGAAACAACACU